CACAUUUCCUAGGAUGCCCUGCGGUGCGUCCAGUUGCGCAGCCCUCUUAGGCGGAGGAAUGAUGUAGGGAAGCUUGAUAAAAACAAGAGUUAAAGGAAUAGGUGUCGGACGAGAGGGUCUGAAGUUCGCGACGGCUAGAAAGGGAGGGGAGUGGAAAAGCCGUCAGUACAGAAGGCCCAAUAGUCAAUAUACAGGACCCUGUGUGCCUGGCCUUUGGAAGCUUUGAUUGCCUAAUUUGUGUGCUUCAGCCACCCUGGCCUGCUUGUGAGUCUUCAAACACUCCAAGUACAUUCCUGCCUCAGAACCUUUGCACCCAGUCUUCUGCCUGAAAAACUCUUCCCAGAGAAUUCAUUUGCAUAAGACAUGUUUUAAUAGGUGAGAGAAGAGCAAAAGUCCAAGCCUGGGGAUCGUUUACAUAAGCCGUUUCGUAUUCUAAGAUGUACAGAAUCCUUCAGAACAAAGCUCAUCAAUAAAUUCAAUAUGUAAAACAGAUAAGUGUAGUCCAAGUGUGGAGAAUUAACCAUCCCAACCAGGGGAAAAUUCAUCUUCUCAUGAAACUUGAAAUACUACCUCUGUAAUAUAUUCAUUAAAAACUUUACCCAUUUUCAAUUUGUUUCCUAUUUCUGAGCUGUUCUCAUACUUUAGUUAAGAAACCUAUGAGCUUUAUAUAAAAAGAAGAAAUUGAAAUGGCUAUUAUGUAAAAUAAAUAAUAACAUGGUCUCACCCCCCGUUAGACUAUAAAAUUAGCACAGAUUAUUAAAGUAAUGUCCAAUCUUGGCAAGGGUUGGAUAUAUCUCUUUAAUAGAAUACAGGGAACAUUUAACUCAGUGGAACUAUUAUAUUGCUAUAUAAGUUGAUAAUGUGCAUCAAAAGUUUCGAAUGUUCAUGUCCUUUGCUCCAGGAGAUCAUUUGUAGGAUUUAACUCUAAAGAAAUAAAUAGAAAUAUAUGGGGAAAUUUUACUGUGGCUUGUAUUAUUGAUAACAUUGAAAAUGAUCCUAGAGUACUCUUCAGCCAUUAAAAUGAAAUUGUACAAAGGAAAAUAUUGAGUACUUGAAAUUUAUCAUUGAUCCAAACACCUUAAUUAUACUGUCUUAAUUAACCCUAACAAUGCCCCUAAGUGACAGGUAUUAUUCCCAUUUAUAGGCAAGAAGACAAUCAGAGAAGUGAGGCACAUUUGAACAGCUAGUAAAGAAGUUCUGGAAUUCAACACAUGUCUUUUUUUUUUUUUUUUAAAGUAUGUAUUUAUCGAAAGGCAGAGUUACAGAAAGGCAGAGGCAGGGAGAGAGAGAUCUGCUAGUUUACUCCCCAAAUGGCUGCAACAGCCGAAGCUGGGUUGAUCUGAAGCCAGGAGUCAGGAGCUUCUUCUGGAUCUCCCACAUGGGUAACAGGGGCCCAAGGACUUGGACCAUCUUCUGCUACUUUCCCAGGCACAGUAGCAGGAAACUAGAUCAGAGGUGGAGCAGCCAGGACUCAAACCCGCACCCAUAUGGGAUGCCAGCA
This is a long non-coding RNA of Lepus europaeus (European hare), 1501 nucleotides long. RefSeq lists it as uncharacterized. The record is from RefSeq and is a predicted model, not a curated record. The transcript has 4 exons. NCBI's taxonomy places the organism in Eukaryota, Metazoa, Chordata, Mammalia, Lagomorpha, Leporidae.